UGGGGAAUCUUGCACAAUGGGCGCAAGCCUGAUGCAGCCAUGCCGCGUGUAUGAAGAAGGCCUUCGGGUUGUAAAGUACUUUCAGCGGGGAUGAAGGGAGUAAAGUUAAUACCUUUGCUCAUUGACGUUACCCGCAGAAGAAGCACCGGCUAACUCCGUGCCAGCAGCCGCGGUAAUACGGAGGGUGCAAGCGUUAAUCGGAAUUACUGGGCGUAAAGCGCACGCAGGCGGUUUGUUAAGUCAGAUGUGAAAUCCCCGGGCUCAACCUGGGAACUGCAUCUGAUACUGGCAAGCUUGAGUCUCGUAGAGGGGGGUAGAAUUCCAGGUGUAGCGGUGAAAUGCGUAGAGAUCUGGAGGAAUACCGGUGGCGAAGGCGGCCCCCUGGACGAAGACUGACGCUCAGGUGCGAAAGCGUGGGGAGCAAACA
Molecule: ribosomal RNA, 427 nt
Filed under: uncultured bacterium
Lineage: Bacteria
Description: partial 16S ribosomal RNA
Rfam family: Bacterial small subunit ribosomal RNA
Source: RNAcentral